GAUGAACGCUGGCGGCGUGCUUAACACAUGCAAGUCGAACGAACCUUCGGGUUAGUGGCGGACGGGUGAGUAACGCGUGAGAAUCUGCCCUCAGGAGGGGGAUAACGGCUGGAAACGGCCGCUAAUACCCCAUAUGCCGCGAGGUGAAAUGAAUUUCGCCUGAGGAUGAGCUCGCGUCUGAUUAGCUAGUUGGUGGGGUAAGAGCCUACCAAGGCGACGAUCAGUAGCUGGUCUGAGAGGAUGAUCAGCCACACUGGGACUGAGACACGGCCCAGACUCCUACGGGAGGCAGCAGUGGGGAAUUUUCCGCAAUGGGCGAAAGCCUGACGGAGCAACGCCGCGUGAGGGAUGAAGGCCUCUGGGCUGUAAACCUCUUUUUUCAAGGAAGAAGAUCUGACGGUACUUGAAGAAUAAGCCACGGCUAAUUCCGUGCCAGCAGCCGCGGUAAUACGGGAGUGGCAAGCGUUAUCCGGAAUUAUUGGGCGUAAAGCGUCCGCAGGCGGCCUUGAAAGUCUGUCGUUAAAGCGUGGAGCUUAACUCCAUUUAAGCGAUGGAAACUACAAGGCUAGAGUGUGGUAGGGGCAGAGGGAAUUCCCGGUGUAGCGGUGAAAUGCGUAGAUAUCGGGAAGAACACCAGUGGCGAAGGCGCUCUGCUGGGCCAUAACUGACGCUCAUGGACGAAAGCCAGGGGAGCGAAAGGGAUUAGAUACCCCUGUAGUCCUGGCCGUAAACGAUGAACACUAGGUGUCGGGGGAAUCGACCCCCUCGGUGUCGUAGCCAACGCGUUAAGUGUUCCGCCUGGGGAGUACGCACGCAAGUGUGAAACUCAAAGGAAUUGACGGGGGCCCGCACAAGCGGUGGAGUAUGUGGUUUAAUUCGAUGCAACGCGAAGAACCUUACCAGGGUUUGACAUCCUGCGAAUCUUUUGGAAACAGAAGAGUGCCUUCGGGAGCGCAGAGACAGGUGGUGCAUGGCUGUCGUCAGCUCGUGUCGUGAGAUGUUGGGUUAAGUCCCGCAACGAGCGCAACCCACGUCGUUAGUUGCCAGCAUUCAGUUGGGCACUCUAGCGAGACCGCCGGUGAUAAACCGGAGGAAGGUGUGGAUGACGUCAAGUCAUCAUGCCCCUUACAUCCUGGGCUACACACGUACUACAAUGCUACGGACAAAGGGCAGCAAACUCGCGAGAGCUAGCAAAUCCCAUAAACCGUGGCUCAGUUCAGAUCGUAGGCUGCAACUCGCCUACGUGAAGGAGGAAUCGCUAGUAAUCGCAGGUCAGCAUACUGCGGUGAAUACGUUCCCGGGCCUUGUACACACCGCCCGUCACACCAUGGAAGUUGGCCACGCCCGAAGUCGUUACUCCAACCCUUGUGGAGGAGGACGCCGAAGGUGGGGCUGAUGACUGGGG
RNAcentral lists this ribosomal RNA (1405 nucleotides) under uncultured bacterium. RNAcentral's name for it is "bacterial SSU rRNA". It matches the Rfam family "Bacterial small subunit ribosomal RNA". The record is from RNAcentral.